GCAAAAUAUUUCUUCUUUCUAAAUAAUGAAAACAUGCUCUGCAAAAUUGAUUACAACAUGGGUAUAUAGAAGUGUGCAUAGAACUAUAAUUUCAAUAUACAAAGUAGCAGUAUUGUGCUAAUUUGCAAAUCAUACAGAUCCUUAAGUGCUAACUACUGAGGUUCAGAUCAUCAUUGCUGGACUUGAUUCGUCGUACAUUCAACGGUACAGGUUUCUCCAAGACUGUCACGUUAACUCCGGUCCAGAUAUCUGAUUUCGUGGGGAGCUGAGCUAUUUUCUCUACGAUUUCCAUGUCCUCCGGCAGCACAUAGCCAAAAACAGUGUACGCGUUUUUCCACUCUUGAUGGUUUGCUAAGCUUAUAAAGAAUUCAGGGCCAGAACCAACCCAUGCAACUGAACCCCGUCUUAUUUCAGGACAGAAUUCACUGGGAACUGUCUCAACUGGUAUUCCUUGAGCACCAAGAGUUCCUUGUAACAAACCAUAUGGAGGGCCAAAAGAAGCAUCUUUUAUGUGAUCUCCACGUGCAUCCCAAACUUGUCCGCGAGUUUCUGCACGAAAAAAUUGGCAACCAGCACAGUGUCGAAACCUCAACAACUCCAGAAUAUUAAAAACAGAGCGUGGGGAACAUUCUGGCAAAAGCUUAACGUGAAUAGCACCAAAUUCUGUUUCCAAGGCAACAAUUCCCUCUCCUUUCCCAAAAACUAUGCCAGACGUCCAAAUACUAUUGUCUCCAUCAUCCUUUUUGUCAGGAGCCAAAGUAUCUUUCUGCUUCUUCAACCAGCACUCACCAAAUUUGUCACCACAAGCUUUUUCAUCUCCACAAAAAACCCAUGUAUCACAAAGACAAGGCCCAUGAUUACCAGUACACAUAUCUUUACAAGCUUCACAACAUUCCUUAGAAUUUUUAACCUUAAAAUCAGAACCCCACUUCACAGCAGCUCCCCAAAGCUCAAAACUUUCGAUCCCAUUACAACAUCCACCACCUUCCACUCCACCAACACCACCACCACUGCCAAAUUCACCGUCAUCCGCCGCCAACCUCUCAACAGCCGAAUUUCCGGUGGGUUUCAUCACCGCCGACAUGAAAAUGUACACGACAGUACACGAAAAAAGACCCAUCAAGAGAAGGAUCAUAGAAGCACAACGAGUGGGUUCGGAAUCAUUUGGCUUCCGACCCAUUUGAGAUUGAUGAGUGAAGAUGAAAACCCAGAAACGGAUUUGGCUGAUUCAAUUUGGUUUCUGAGAUUUUUGUAUGAUUUGGUUUAGUGGUAUCGUU
Molecule: unclassified non-coding RNA, 1277 nt
Filed under: Hevea brasiliensis (rubber tree)
Lineage: Eukaryota; Viridiplantae; Streptophyta; Magnoliopsida; Malpighiales; Euphorbiaceae
Source: RNAcentral